GGCAUUCACCAGGGGAGCCCGGACAACGGGCUGAGAUACUGCUGGCUUUUCGCAGCGCGGUGACCCUUCGAACCUGAUCCAGUUCGUACUGGCGUAGGGAUGGUGCGAUGGCUUUGCA
RNAcentral lists this non-coding RNA (118 nucleotides) under Aquamicrobium sp. LC103. RNAcentral describes it as "Mesorhizobium sp. LC103 TPP riboswitch aptamer (THI element)". It matches the Rfam family "TPP riboswitch aptamer (THI element)". From Rfam's summary of the family: Vitamin B(1) in its active form thiamin pyrophosphate (TPP) is an essential coenzyme that is synthesised by coupling of pyrimidine and thiazole moieties in bacteria. The previously detected thiamin-regulatory element, thi box was extended, resulting in a new, highly conserved RNA secondary structure, the THI element, which is widely distributed in eubacteria and also occurs in some archaea. Lineage: Bacteria; Pseudomonadati; Pseudomonadota; Alphaproteobacteria; Hyphomicrobiales; Phyllobacteriaceae. The record is from Rfam by way of RNAcentral. RNAcentral also lists the same sequence under 1 other name.